Molecule: transfer RNA, 68 nt
Filed under: Mania lunus
Lineage: Eukaryota; Metazoa; Arthropoda; Insecta; Lepidoptera; Sematuridae
Description: partial tRNA-Leu
Source: RNAcentral
CUAUUUUGGCAGAAAUAAUGUGAUGAUUUUAGAAUUCAUUUAUAUAUGAUUAAAUUAUAUAGGUAGUA